Molecule: long non-coding RNA, 1126 nt
Organism: Lepisosteus oculatus (spotted gar)
Lineage: Eukaryota; Metazoa; Chordata; Actinopteri; Semionotiformes; Lepisosteidae
Source: RefSeq, a predicted model, not a curated record
GAUAUGAUUGGCUCUGUGGGUGACUGGCCACGCCCCUGGAUUAGUGAGCUGGUGGAUAAUAGCAGGAGGUAGAGGAGGGUGGCUUGUGUUUGAAAUUUACAGGAAAGAUACUCAGAGUGUGAAGAAGAGAUUGUAGGGUAGUCCAGUGUGCAAAAGGGGACGUCCUGUGGGCUCCUUUGUGGUAAUACUACAGUACCUUGUGGUCUAUGGAACAGAGAUUCUCAUAGGCUUCCUCUGAAGGAAGGAUGGAUGAGUUCAUCUGAAAAGAGGUAGUGACUGUGUUUAAGAUCGCCGUGGGAAGAGCAACAGAACGGUGGACUGUGCGGGCUUCCUUUUCAGACGUCAUGCACUUGCGCACCAGCCGUUCCCGUCUUCUGUCCUGGUCUGUGGGUGGUCGCAGCACAGGGCGGUCUGCUGCCAUUCCGAAGGCCGCAGCCUCCGGUAGAAGUCCCUUAGCUUGGUCUGCUGCUUUAACCCACCCUGCACCGUCAACCUCCUAAAACAGCACGUUCCUGCAGCUGCCCCUGAGCGGCAGUACCCCCGUUUCAGCUCGGGGAGCGCUGUAACAACAACGUGAUCUUCAGUUGAAAGGAAAUUAAGUAUCGCCUCCACAGACAAAAAAAAAAAGCACACGCUUAUCCAUUAACGUGUGACGUUAUCUUAACUACAAAUCCAAAUCAAAAACAACAGUGACCGUUUCAGCGUUGGUCUUCGGGAGGAAGAAUCGUAUUUUGGCGUUUUAUGUACCUUUUGUGCAAGAUGUUGGAGCUGAAACACGUCCAAUGGGCGGGGCUACAGUCGUGGGUUUACUUGAAUAUAGCGAUGCAUUUUUUUUAAUUACUCGAUAAACUGUAAUAAAACAGGCAUGUAACGAAGUAGUAAAAGGGAGAAUUGUGUGCAAUAUCUUUAAAGUCAAAGCUAUACCCUAACCCAACGGCGACGGUCAAAAAGUCUAAAAAGGGGGCCAGAUUUUGUUUGCAAUACGAAACUACCGAUGUUGUGGAAUUUCUUUUGGACAAUGAAUUAGUUUUAACAGUCCCCUAGAUGAUGAAUAAAAGAUGGCAUUUUUCAAACCAGAGCGAAGGCAUCUGUUUUAGGUUUCUGUAACAGCCGGAGGCUCAUAACA